UGUUGUGCCUGGUGCCCUGGUUUGGUCUGUGUGUCCCCAGCAGGGUCAGCUCUGAACAAGUUGGGCAACUGUUGUGCCUGGGGAGUGUGCACAUGUGUUGGCAGUCUGUGUCUUGGCCAUUGAUGGGAAAAAUGUGGAAUCCAGCCAGGUUCUUCUGGGAGCUCAGAACAACACAACAACGGGAGACAGUGGGUGGCAGGGAGCCCUGGGAGGCCACCUCCUGUGCCAGGGCAGGGCCAGACAGCCAGUCUGGGUGUUCACAGUAGAGCCCUGCUCUAUACUGAAUGGGAGUGUAGAGGGCUGCUUGCUGGCUACACAUGGGCUUGCAUUCUUCAAGCCAUUCAUUCAGCAAGUACUUACUAAGCUGCUACUAUAUGCCAGGCACCCAUCUAGGCACUGGGGAUAUAGCAGGAAAGAAAUCCUCUUCAAGGAACUUCAAAUGUGACCAUUUGACAUGAAAUGUGUCAUGAUGGGAAUAGAGCACCGGCUUAGAAAGGGCUCUUGUGCCUGAGGGGCUGGUGAGGUGAAGAGAAACUUUCUGGGGGAGAGAAUUACGGGGCCAAGCCCUGGGCCUGAGAAGGGGUCUCUUGGUGAACAGAGGCAGGGAAUAAGAGGGGGAAGCAAGGUAAGACCAUCUGGGACAGUGUGGCAUGGGGAGGGAACAGGUGACCAGACAGGUGGCAGGACCUCAUCCCACUGGAUGCUCUGCUGGUGCCUUUGCCUGAAGUGCAGUUUGCCACGGAUCAGAUCCAAGCUACAGUUGCGAUCUGUGCUACAGUUGGGUCAAUGCCGAAUCCUUAACCCAGCUGGAGAAUUGAAACUGCGUCCCAGCACUCCAGAGAUGCCACCCAUCCGACUGCACCACAGUGGGUAUUCUGAGUUUUUUCUAAAUUUCCCUUAAAAACACGCUUGUUUAAAUUAAAGUGCUUAUUAUAAUUAUAUAUAAAAUAACAUAUCAUCAUAGUUGAAUAUUUGGAAGAUAUAAAGUGGCAUGAAGAAUUAAAAUUUAUUCAUAAUUCAUAAUUCCACCAUCCAGGAAAGCUUCCUUCCUUUGAGCUCUCCUUUUUACCAUUCUAUUAAAAAACCUACAUGGGGAGUUCCCGUCAUAGUGCAGUGGUUAACGAAUCCAACUAGGAACCAUGAGGUUGGGGGUUCGAUCCCUGGCCUCGCUCAGUGGGUUGGGGAUCCGGCAUUGCCAUGGGCUGUGGUGUAGGUCAUAGAUGCAGCUUGGAUCUGGCAUUGCUGUGGCUAUGGUGUAGGCCAGCAGCUAUAGCUCCGAUUAGACCCCUAGCCUGGGAACCUCCAUAUGCCACGGGUGUGGCCCUAAAAAGACAAAAAGACCAAAAAUAAAUAAAUAAAUAAAUAAAUAAAUAAAAUAA
This 1379-nucleotide long non-coding RNA is filed under the name Sus scrofa (pig). RNAcentral's name for it is "lncRNA (ENSSSCG00070019761.1)". Lineage: Eukaryota; Metazoa; Chordata; Mammalia; Artiodactyla; Suidae. The record is from RNAcentral.